CUGAAACGUGGAUCCACGAUUUUGAAAAGCAAAUGAUAUAUUUCUUCUUUUUCUUUCCCAGGGGCCCCUUUCUUGUUGGCUGAUCAGCGUUUUUUUUUUAAUCUGUUGUAAAAAGACACUAAAGGCUUGCGUUAAUGACAUGCAAAUAUACUUUAAAUAUUCUUCAUACUCAUUGUAAUAUCACACAUCAUCUUAUAGCACAGAAAACAUGUAGCAGAUAUCCAGCAGACAUGCCAAUACAAAAAGCAUAUUCAUGGACAGGCAAUUAACUCAAUCCAAAAUAAAUUAAUAAAUGUCACACUAUGUGACGGACAUAAUUUGGUUCUCAUAUUUGUGCAUUAUGCAUGUCUGCAAACAAUGCAAGCAGUACUGCUUUAAGAUUAGAUCAGAGCACCUGGCAACUGGACAGGAAAGUCAAAUUUUGGCAGGAAGUCCAUUAUUGCAACAGAAUUUUGGAAAUCAGCUAAAAUUUACAAAAACAGACUCCCUCUUUUUUUCUUUCUUAAGACUACAACUCAUAUUGCUCUUGGACAAGUAUUCAAUAAUAAAUCAGUUAUUUAAUAGAUUAUUACGCUGCCAUUUUCAUCUGUAUCAAUACUAAGACAAAUUUAUUCAAAUAUAAUUUAAAAUAACAGCAAAAUACCUAUUAACAUACAUGACAAUUAAACUGCGCACUUCAAAAUGAGUAACCAAAACAAACAUUUAUGACAAUCAUCAUUCACACAGAAUAAACUUCUAACAGCUGUAUUCAGAACAUAUUAUUGUAAGGUAUACCAAUUUUAGUUUGUAUUGGAUUUAUUUAAGAUUUCUGGUACCAAAGGGUUUAUUUUUUAUUUUUUUAAAGAAGGGAUCCCGUAUGGCUAUAUAACACGUUUGACUUAAACAUUUGUAUAACACUUGCAUUAACCAGUUGCGACAUAUGAAACCUGUCAAUGGAAUUUCUCUCUUAUACGCUUAUAGAACAUUUGGGCCAGAUUACACAGACAUGGUAUCACCUGCAUUUGUCAGAACUCUCAAAGACUCAAAAUAUUUAUACUACUCCAUGUUAAAGGCAUGGCAAAAUUUUGACCGGUCAAUUUGAGUUUCCAAAAGUCAUAUCAACACAGGUAAAAACCUUUGUCCAUGGUUUUCUGAUCCUACAUUCCAUGACCAAAAUUUCAAACCCACUUCUUCACAGUUUGGGUCGCAAGCAAUAAAAUCUCAGCAACCCCAUACAAUAAUU
Molecule: non-coding RNA, 1222 nt
Organism: Pelobates cultripes (western spadefoot toad)
Lineage: Eukaryota; Metazoa; Chordata; Amphibia; Anura; Pelobatidae
Source: the annotation of a GenBank genome assembly